UAGUACUUUUUCACUAGUCUAUAUAAUGGCAUGAGUUCUCCAAUAGUUGCUUGUUUAUGUGCGAAUGGCCUGUAUAAAGAUAUAACUAGAUAUGUCAAUAAAUAAUGUACAAAAUUUAGAGAGACCAACAAUAGAUACGCAAUUAACCAUUGCUACUGAUAAUUAUUAGCCAAUAAUCAUUAAAUAACCAUUCCAACUGUCAAUAAUAAAAACAUUCGACCAAUCUUAUAUAUAUAAUCUAAUAAGUUUUAUUUUGGAAAAAACAAAACAAAACAAACUUUAUUGAUAAAAUUAAAUUUAAGGAAUUAUUUUUAUCAGUAAAAAAUGUUUCCAUUCAUAAUCGUAUAAAAACUGGGUAUUACUAACGUAUUUGUAGAGUAUGAUUCCAGUAUGAGGGGGCAUUAAGGGGUUACAUAUACCUUCUUGGGGAGCAAGAGUAUAUGUGCACAAGGCCAGGCAACUUAUGAAUCAGAGGGGAACAACCAACAUCAGGCACACAUUCACGGAAACAAACCAUUGUGCAAACUACCUUGUUAGUUUGAGCAAGAAGAAUGAUCAGUUGAUUGUAUUUUUUGGUCCUUUUCGAGAGAACCUGGUGUAUUUUAUGAACCAGGAUGCCUUAGGCACUAUGUAUGAUUGAGUUUGAUUAUUUUUUC
RNAcentral lists this long non-coding RNA (656 nucleotides) under Aquilegia coerulea. RNAcentral describes it as "long non-coding RNA (ACOE_LNC002263)". The record is from RNAcentral. Lineage: Eukaryota; Viridiplantae; Streptophyta; Magnoliopsida; Ranunculales; Ranunculaceae.